This 358-nucleotide ribosomal RNA is filed under the name uncultured fungus. Its description in RNAcentral is "eukaryotic LSU rRNA". It matches the Rfam family "Eukaryotic large subunit ribosomal RNA", at positions 40 to 398 of the family's 3401-position model. Lineage: Eukaryota; Fungi. The record is from RNAcentral.
AUAUCAAUAAGCGGAGGAAAAGAAACCAACAGGGAUUGCCCUAGUAACGGCGAGUGAAGCGGCAACAGCUCAAAUUUGAAAUCUGGUCCUCGUGGCCCGAGUUGUAAUUUGCAGAGGAUGCUUUCAGGUUUUGGUGCCUUCUGAGUUCCCUGGAAUGGGACGCCAUAGAGGGUGAGAGCCCCGUAUAGUCGUGCACCAGGCCGUUGUAAAGCACCUUCGAAGAGUCGAGUAGUUUGGGAAUGCUGCUCUAAGCGGGAGGUAAACUUCUUCUAAAGCUAAAUACCGGCCAGAGACCGAUAGCGCACAAGUAGAGUGAUCGAAAGAUGAAAAGCACUUUGAAAAGAGGGUUAAACAGCAC